Molecule: transfer RNA, 76 nt
Filed under: Brucella abortus
Lineage: Bacteria; Pseudomonadati; Pseudomonadota; Alphaproteobacteria; Hyphomicrobiales; Brucellaceae
Description: tRNA-Pro
Rfam family: tRNA
About the family: Transfer RNA (tRNA) molecules are approximately 80 nucleotides in length. Their secondary structure includes four short double-helical elements and three loops (D, anti-codon, and T loops). Further hydrogen bonds mediate the characteristic L-shaped molecular structure. tRNAs have two regions of fundamental functional importance: the anti-codon, which is responsible for specific mRNA codon recognition, and the 3' end, to which the tRNAs corresponding amino acid is attached (by aminoacyl-tRNA synthetases). tRNAs cope with the degeneracy of the genetic code in two manners: having more than one tRNA (with a specific anti-codon) for a particular amino acid; and 'wobble' base-pairing, i.e. permitting non-standard base-pairing at the 3rd anti-codon position.
Source: RNAcentral
CGGAGCGUAGCGCAGUCUGGUAGCGCACCUGAUUUGGGAUGAGGGGGUCCAGGUUCGAAUCCUGCCGCUCCGACCA